CCCUUAGAUGUUCUGGGCUGCACGCGUGCUACACUGAUAUUGCCAAUAUGUCAUUCUUAUCCGAAAUGGAUUGGGUAAUCAAGUAAUGAAAUUUCAUGCUUGGAUUCGGUAAUUGCAAUUUUAUCGUGAACGAGGAAUUCCUAGUAAGCACUAGUCAUCAGCUAAUGUUGAUUAUGUCCCUGCCCUUUGUACACACCGCCCGUCGCUACUACUGAUUGGGUGUUCAAGUGAGAUGCUUAGACCCUUGUUGCAUGGUUCAUUAUUGUGCUCCGAAAGGAAAAAGUUUCAAGCUUGAGUGUCUAGAGGAAGUAAAAGUCGUAACA
RNAcentral lists this ribosomal RNA (323 nucleotides) under uncultured eukaryote. RNAcentral describes it as "partial 18S ribosomal RNA". It matches the Rfam family "Eukaryotic small subunit ribosomal RNA", at positions 1470 to 1796 of the family's 1831-position model. The record is from RNAcentral.